CCCCUACGGGAGGCAGCAGUGGGGAAUAUUGAACAAUGGGGGAAACCCUGAUGCAGCGACGCCGCGUGAGUGAAGAAGUAUUUCGGUAUGUAAAGCUCUAUCAGCAGGGAAGAAAAAAGACGGUACCUGACUAAGAAGCCCCGGCUAACUACGUGCCAGCAGCCGCGGUAAUACGUAGGGGGCAAGCGUUAUCCGGAUUUACUGGGUGUAAAGGGAGCGUAGACGGCUGUGCAAGUCUGAAGUGAAAGCCAGUGCUCAACCCUGGGACUGCUUUGGAAACUGUGGAGCUAGA
Molecule: ribosomal RNA, 292 nt
Filed under: uncultured bacterium
Lineage: Bacteria
Description: partial 16S ribosomal RNA
Rfam family: Bacterial small subunit ribosomal RNA
Source: RNAcentral